UACGUAGGGGGCAAGCGUUGUCCGGAUUUAUUGGGCGUAAAGAGCGUGUAGGCGGCCAAGCAGGUCCGCUGUGAAAACUCGAGGCUCAACCUCGAGACGUCGGUGGAAACCGUUUGGCUAGAGUCCGGAAGAGGAGAGUGGAAUUCCCGGUGUAGCGGUGAAAUGCGCAGAUAUCGGGAAGAACACCCGUGGCGAAGGCGGCUCCCUGGGACGGUACUGACGCUGAGACGCGAAAGCGUGGGGAGCGAACAGG
RNAcentral lists this ribosomal RNA (253 nucleotides) under uncultured bacterium. RNAcentral describes it as "partial 16S ribosomal RNA". It matches the Rfam family "Bacterial small subunit ribosomal RNA", at positions 524 to 776 of the family's 1533-position model. The record is from RNAcentral.